UUGCUAUGGCUACACAUGUGCUAAAAUGGGAACAAUACAGAGAAGGUUUGCAUGGCCCCUACACAAGGUUGACAUGCAGAUUUGUGAAGAAUUUCGUAUUUUU
RNAcentral lists this small nuclear RNA (103 nucleotides) under Paramormyrops kingsleyae. The record is from RNAcentral. Lineage: Eukaryota; Metazoa; Chordata; Actinopteri; Osteoglossiformes; Mormyridae.